This 253-nucleotide ribosomal RNA is filed under the name uncultured bacterium. Its description in RNAcentral is "partial 16S ribosomal RNA". It matches the Rfam family "Bacterial small subunit ribosomal RNA", at positions 524 to 776 of the family's 1533-position model. The record is from RNAcentral.
UACGGGGGGGGCAAGCGUUGUUCGGAAUUACUGGGCGUAAAGCGUGCGCAGGCGGUUAUGUAAGACAGGUGUGAAAUCCCAGGGCUUAACCUUGGAACUGCAUUUGUGACUGCAUAGCUAGAGUACGGUAGAGGGGGAUGGAAUUCCGCGUGUAGCAGUGAAAUGCGUAGAUAUGCGGAGGAACACCGAUGGCGAAGGCAAUCCCCUGGACCUGUACUGACGCUCAUGCACGAAAGCGUGGGGAGCAAACAGG